Molecule: long non-coding RNA, 1158 nt
Organism: Physella acuta
Lineage: Eukaryota; Metazoa; Mollusca; Gastropoda; Physidae
Source: RefSeq, a predicted model, not a curated record
CACACGUAGUAAAACUAGACUUAUCUUUAAAACACGAGAAUCUUGAGUACACUGCGAAUAACAAAGUUUUUAAAUUUUAGUUUACUUUUGACUUUAAGCCAUUUGUUUUAAAUCGAAAUUAAUUGAUAAUGUAAUUAUUUCAAAGUAAAAAUUUUCCGUCGCAAAUUGGCUUCUAACCUUCGCCACUGAACCAGCCUACGCACGACAUUCGCGCGAGUCUGUUUCUUCGCAAUAGUCUGUAUAGUGUCGAGGGCUAAUUCUAAAAAGAAUCGAGUCCUUACUAAUCUAAUGUUUAUUAAAAUUAGGUACAAUUGUUGGAACGCAUGAGAAAUAACAAAUUAAUAUUUCUUUAAAUCUAUAGCCAAAAGAAAGUAGAACUUUAAAACUCUGUAAAUUAUGAAUCGAGUGACGGCUGUCGUGAAAACGGGAGCCAUUUUACUCUUUUUUUUUAGGGUGACCUACUUUUAUUAUAUAAUUUUAAAAUUCAUCGAUUUGAUAAGCAGCUGAGUAGCUGACUACGCAUGCGAUAUGGCUGGCACGUUUUGGGAUAGGGAUCGAGUACACCAUAGAAUUUUUUUUCUUAGAACUAAGCGUAUUUUUUUUUAAAAUCAAAAGAUACUUACAUAUCAGUUGUUGAUUUCAAUUUCAUUAUAGAUCUAAUCACUAACUUCAGUUUUUAAAAGUGAUUUUGCUUCUAGAACUAGCGUAUUUUCAAAAUUACGUAGAUUCUAAAUCUAGAUCUAUUCACUUACUAUUUGACAACCGUGUCAGUAAAAUGAGGUCACCGCUUCCAGAUUCUUAGGUUUUAAUUAUGUUUGUCAUUUUGAUCUAUUAUAAGUAGCAUUAAAACAACUGCAUCUAUUAUCAACAUUGUUUUUAUAUGCCAGUUCUAAUUAUACAUUCUGUUCAUUACCAAUUCUAAUGAAAUCGUAUCAGGCCCUAACACCCUGUUCACCUACACUGACACUAGAUCUACACUUGAAUGACGCCACAGACAGUCGUAACUUUAAAUUAAUGUUCAAAAGUGUUUCUAAAAGCCAGAAUUUUAAAGGGGAGGGCGGUCGUUUUUUUUCUCAAGAAUAAUUAUAGAAAUAAGCUAUAAACUGGUAUAUUUUGUAAAGUUUGACAUAAUUACAAAUAAAUGUAUGCCUAAGUGAC